RNAcentral lists this ribosomal RNA (427 nucleotides) under Pseudomonas sp. Its description in RNAcentral is "partial 16S ribosomal RNA". It matches the Rfam family "Bacterial small subunit ribosomal RNA", at positions 355 to 774 of the family's 1533-position model. Lineage: Bacteria; Pseudomonadati; Pseudomonadota; Gammaproteobacteria; Pseudomonadales; Pseudomonadaceae. The record is from RNAcentral. RNAcentral also lists the same sequence under 4 other names.
UAGGGAAUCUUCCGCAAUGGGCGAAAGCCUGACGGAGCAACGCCGCGUGAGUGAUGAAGGUCUUCGGAUCGUAAAACUCUGUUAUUAGGGAAGAACAAAUGUGUAAGUAACUAUGCACGUCUUGACGGUACCUAAUCAGAAAGCCACGGCUAACUACGUGCCAGCAGCCGCGGUAAUACGUAGGUGGCAAGCGUUAUCCGGAAUUAUUGGGCGUAAAGCGCGCGUAGGCGGUUUUUUAAGUCUGAUGUGAAAGCCCACGGCUCAACCGUGGAGGGUCAUUGGAAACUGGAAAACUUGAGUGCAGAAGAGGAAAGUGGAAUUCCAUGUGUAGCGGUGAAAUGCGCAGAGAUAUGGAGGAACACCAGUGGCGAAGGCGACUUUCUGGUCUGUAACUGACGCUGAUGUGCGAAAGCGUGGGGAUCAAACA